This is a non-coding RNA of Phrynosoma platyrhinos (Desert horned lizard), 72 nucleotides long. The record is from the annotation of a GenBank genome assembly. Lineage: Eukaryota; Metazoa; Chordata; Lepidosauria; Squamata; Phrynosomatidae.
GCCAGCAUGGCAUAGUGGUUUGAGCAUUGGCCUAUGAUCCCUAAGACCAGGGUUCAAUUUCCUGCUCAGGCA